GACGAACGCUGGCGGCGCGCCUAACACAUGCAAGUCGAACGAGCGAGCGAGAGCUUGCUUUCUCAAGCGAGUGGCGAACGGGUGAGUAACGCGUGAGGAACCUGCCUCAAAGAGGGGGACAACAGUUGGAAACGACUGCUAAUACCGCAUAAGCCCACAGGUCGGCAUCGACCAGAGGGAAAAGGAGCAAUCCGCUUUGAGAUGGCCUCGCGUCCGAUUAGCUAGUUGGUGGGGUAACGGCCCACCAAGGCAACGAUCGGUAGCCGGACGGAGAGGUUGAACCGCCCCAUUGGGACGGGGACACGGCCCAAACCCCCAAGGGGGGCGGGAGGGGGGAAGAGUCCACAAGGGGGGAAACCCUAAGGCCGCGGCGCCGGGGGGAGGAAGAAGGUUUUCGGAUUGAAAACUCCUGUUUUUGAGGAAGAUAAGGCCGGAACUAAACAAGAAAGUACCGCCAAAUUAGGG
This 465-nucleotide ribosomal RNA is filed under the name uncultured bacterium. RNAcentral describes it as "partial 16S ribosomal RNA". It matches the Rfam family "Bacterial small subunit ribosomal RNA", at positions 28 to 506 of the family's 1533-position model. The record is from RNAcentral.